AAUGAACGCUGGCGGCAUGCCUAAUACAUGCAAGUCGAACGACAACACAGUAAGCUUUCUCUCCUACGGGUGGCGACUGGCGGAUGGGUGACGCAUACAUCGGCAUCCACUUUUUCUUGGGUGACUACGUAGGGCCACUUACGCUACUACCUCAUAUGUUCUACCGCUUAAAUCAGUAGUUCUACGCACCUUUCGUGAUUCAUAUAGCCGAUGUCGGAUUAGCUAGUUGGCGGGGUAAAGGCCCACCAAGGCGACGAUCCGUAGCUGGUCUGAGAGGAUGAUCGGCCACACUGGAACUGAGACACGGUCCAGACUCCUACGGGAGGCAGCAGUAGGGAAUAUUGGACAAUGGGCGCAAGCCUGAUCCAGCAAUACCGCGUGGGUGAAGAAGGCCUUCGGGUUGUAAAGCCCUGUUGUUGGGAAAGAAAAGCAGCAGGUGAAUACCCCGCUGUUCUGACGGUACCCAAAGAAUAAGCACCGGCUAACUUCGUG
This 492-nucleotide ribosomal RNA is filed under the name uncultured bacterium. Its description in RNAcentral is "partial 16S ribosomal RNA". It matches the Rfam family "Bacterial small subunit ribosomal RNA", at positions 29 to 507 of the family's 1533-position model. The record is from RNAcentral.